CUGCGAGAAAGGAUUCGGCUUAUUUAUCUACUUUGACCCCCGCUUCCGGACUUGUUCGG
This 59-nucleotide unclassified non-coding RNA is filed under the name Ensifer meliloti. RNAcentral describes it as "Sinorhizobium meliloti ctRNA". Lineage: Bacteria; Pseudomonadati; Pseudomonadota; Alphaproteobacteria; Hyphomicrobiales; Rhizobiaceae. The record is from RNAcentral.